This is a non-coding RNA of Lonchura striata (white-rumped munia), 854 nucleotides long. The record is from RefSeq and is a predicted model, not a curated record. Lineage: Eukaryota; Metazoa; Chordata; Aves; Passeriformes; Estrildidae.
UCCAUUUCAAGAUCAAAUGAUCUCAUAGGUUUUGGCAACUCUACCUCAGACAGAUGGAAUAGUAAGAAAAUCCCCUUUGCUGCCAAGAAACAAGAAAAAUGAUGAUAUCAUAUUCAGGUGCUUUCCUCUAUUCCAUUUAUUCUGCAUUGCAAUGAUGUUAUGAAGGGAAAGGUAAAUACACAUAUUCUCUGACAAAGUUUCCCUGCACAUGGAAGAAUGAAGAAAAAUAGGGGGAAAAAUGUGUUGGAGGUUUUUCGUUUUGGUUUGGUUUUUUGUCCAGAGGGCUGCAUUAACAGGACUUUCAUAUAUAAGGUGCAAAGGUGGUUGUUCUGUUUUUCUUGUUGCAUGUGACCCUUCAGAUGGACAAAUAUAUUGUACGUGGAUCUUAACCUUCCAACAAGAAAGAAGGAAUAACCAUGUUAAGUGACCAGCUUAUGACUUAACAUCCUCCUUUAUUGUCUUCUUUGAAGGAAGUUGUUUCUCAACAAUUUUUCAGUCCAUCUGGAGAAGAAUGAUUUCCUAAAGGUAUCCACAGACUUCAUUUAGAUUUUAGGAUCACUCUUCCCACAACUAAUUGGAAAUGGUAUCUCUGUUUACCAGAAGACUGGCAGGCAAGAAAUGCAGGCACAUAUAUAAGAAUAAAAUGUAAAAUCUCCUGAAAACCAACUGCUCUUUAAACACUUGUUUGUUUGUUUGUUUGUUUUUCCUAAGAUGAUGGCAACACUGAUUUAUAUUUAACUUUGAUUUAUUCAGAUAUUGGUGGUGUUUUCCUUUCUUUUUUUUUUCUAUUUGCUAUGGCAGUUUCUCCUGAGAUGUUAUAUAUGCUAUUUGUCCUAAACUGAACUGUAACCUUU